AAAAAAAAAAAAAAACUGUUCACAGAGCAAUUUUGUAGUAAUUAAUAUUGUUCACACGCAUAUUUGUGUAGAAACUACUGUUCACAGCAGAAUUUGGUGCUUUUACUUUGCAAAAUAGUGUAUUCGUUCAUGUUUAGUCUUAAUUUUGAUGUUAAUGGAUUUUAUACAGUUGAUAUUUUUCAUUUCAAUUGAGUUUUAGGCACUACCAGUCAUUUUGUAAUGCAUUUUUAAGUUUGCAAGACUAUUAUGCCUUUUAUUUAUUCUGCUGAAAACUGCACAACCUACUACACAACUUAUACAGUUUUACUGCUACAGGUUUAAUUCUUCAAAAUUUACUAUUCAUAGUGCAUAUUUCUACAGAAUAUCUGUAUAAUUUACUAUUCACGGCAGUUUUU
RNAcentral lists this unclassified non-coding RNA (395 nucleotides) under Hevea brasiliensis (rubber tree). Lineage: Eukaryota; Viridiplantae; Streptophyta; Magnoliopsida; Malpighiales; Euphorbiaceae. The record is from RNAcentral.